This 527-nucleotide ribosomal RNA is filed under the name uncultured bacterium. RNAcentral's name for it is "bacterial SSU rRNA". It matches the Rfam family "Bacterial small subunit ribosomal RNA", at positions 777 to 1303 of the family's 1533-position model. The record is from RNAcentral.
AAUAGAUACCCGGGUAGUCCAUGCCGUAAACGUUGGGCACUAGGUGUGGGGCUCAUUCCACGAGUUCCGUGCCGCAGCAAACGCAUUAAGUGCCCCGCCUGGGGAGUACGGCCGCAAGGCUAAAACUCAAAGGAAUUGACGGGGGCCCGCACAAGCGGCGGAGCAUGCGGAUUAAUUCGAUGCAACGCGAAGAACCUUACCAAGGCUUGACAUGCACGGGAAGCCACCAGAGAUGGUGGUCUCUUUGGACACUCGUGCACAGGUGGUGCAUGGUUGUCGUCAGCUCGUGUCGUGAGAUGUUGGGUUAAGUCCCGCAACGAGCGCAACCCUCGUCCCAUGUUGCCAGCGGGUUAUGCCGGGGACUCAUGGGAGACUGCCGGGGUCAACUCGGAGGAAGGUGGGGAUGACGUCAAAUCAUCAUGCCCCUUAUGUCUUGGGCUUCACGCAUGCUACAAUGGCCGGUACAAAGGGCUGCGAUACCGUAAGGUGAGCGAAUCCCAAAAAGCCGGUCUCAGUUCGGAUUGGGU